UACAGAGGUCCCAAGCGUUGUUCGGAUUCACUGGGCGUAAAGGGUGCGUAGGUGGCGAGGUAAGUCGGAUGUGAAAGCUCGGAGCUCAACUCCGAAAUUGCAUUGGAAACUACCUUGCUCGAGGGUUGGAGGGGGGACUGGAAUGCUUGGUGUAGCAGUGAAAUGCGUAGAUAUCAAGCGGAACACCAGUGGCGAAGGCGGCGACCUGGCCAAUCACUGACACUGAGACGCGAAAGCGUGGGGAGCAAACAGG
This 253-nucleotide ribosomal RNA is filed under the name uncultured prokaryote. Its description in RNAcentral is "partial 16S ribosomal RNA". It matches the Rfam family "Bacterial small subunit ribosomal RNA", at positions 524 to 776 of the family's 1533-position model. The record is from RNAcentral.